GGGGCUGUAGCUCAGUGGUUAGAGCAGGGAACUCAUAAUUCCUUGGUCGUCGGUUCAAGUCCGACCGGCCCUA
Molecule: transfer RNA, 73 nt
Filed under: bacterium
Lineage: Bacteria
Also listed under: 1 other name
Description: tRNA-Ile
Rfam family: tRNA
About the family: Transfer RNA (tRNA) molecules are approximately 80 nucleotides in length. Their secondary structure includes four short double-helical elements and three loops (D, anti-codon, and T loops). Further hydrogen bonds mediate the characteristic L-shaped molecular structure. tRNAs have two regions of fundamental functional importance: the anti-codon, which is responsible for specific mRNA codon recognition, and the 3' end, to which the tRNAs corresponding amino acid is attached (by aminoacyl-tRNA synthetases). tRNAs cope with the degeneracy of the genetic code in two manners: having more than one tRNA (with a specific anti-codon) for a particular amino acid; and 'wobble' base-pairing, i.e. permitting non-standard base-pairing at the 3rd anti-codon position.
Source: RNAcentral